AGUGUGCACAUGUGGCUGAAGCUAGCCCACUCGUGCUCUGUGGAGCUGCUCACGUUGAGUCCGAAUGGAGUCUGAGGGAUUUGUAAACUCAGUAAGUACACCCCGUCUCAGGCUGUACCAGCCUGAUUUUCUACUAUUCAGAGGUUUCCUGAACACCGGCGGAAGGAGCAGUGCCCACCUCAGACAAGCCCCAGAUCAAAGUCGGAGCCUGAGGAAGUCUUCACUUCCUUCUGAAGCCUGUUCCAGUCCUAAAGGCCCCAGACUUGGAGCUCCGCGGAGUCCUACAUCAUUCUGCUCUCAGUCUGAACUGCUUUGAACUUGAUUUGUCAUUUGUCACUAAAAAGGUUCUAAAAGAUCCCCAUCCUGGAAGUCUUUCAGUGGCUGCCAUGGUGGAGUCAGCAUCUUAGCCUCUCAAUGUAGCUCCAAGCCCCGCGUUUCCUCAGUGGAAACAGAGCUCCUGCCCUUGAUCUUCAAAGGUGCAGGUUCCUGCUGGGCUCUUCCCGCCCCUUGCUCCCUCUGGAUGCCGCUGCAGCUGGGCAGCUGCACUAUUCCGUGUGAGUCAGGCAAUCAGCUGCCUCUGUUUUCAUCGCUUCAUCGUCAGCCUGGGAGCCUCUAGUUAAAGCAGUUUUGCAACCCAGAAUGUCUCUGAUUAAUAAUAUUCACAGAGCCUUCAAACUCACCUGGAGGCUUGUGAACUCAGUGUCUGUGAACAUACGGUGCUGUAGUAAAGGUGGAGUUAAAAAAAAAAUCGUCAGAAGGCAGUGGCUGGAGACGGUUCAGUAGGUUUCAAAAGGAAUACUUACUCCUUUUGCAGAGGACUAGACUUAGUUCCUGACACCCACAACAGGCAGUUCACAGCUCCAUCUCCGUGGGAUAUGAUGCCCUCUGCUGGCCGCCAUGGCCAACUGCACGUAUGCAAGCCCACAUAUGCGCGCGGCACACACAGACACACAAUUUAAAAACUAAAAAAAAAAAAAAAGAAGAAGAAGGAGAAG
RNAcentral lists this long non-coding RNA (995 nucleotides) under Mus musculus (house mouse). Its description in RNAcentral is "long non-coding RNA chr15:31418356-31419351". The record is from RNAcentral. Lineage: Eukaryota; Metazoa; Chordata; Mammalia; Rodentia; Muridae.